This 252-nucleotide ribosomal RNA is filed under the name uncultured bacterium. RNAcentral's name for it is "partial 16S ribosomal RNA". It matches the Rfam family "Bacterial small subunit ribosomal RNA", at positions 524 to 776 of the family's 1533-position model. The record is from RNAcentral.
UACGUAGGUCCCGAGCGUUGUCCGGAUUUAUUGGGUGUAAAGCGAGCGCAGGUGGUUUAUUAAGUCUGGUGUGAAAGGCAGUGGCUCAACCAUUGUAUGCAUUGGAAACUGGUAGACUUGAGUGCAGGAGAGGAGAGUGGAAUUCCAUGUGUAGCGGUGAAAUGCGUAGAUAUAUGGAGGAACACCGGUGGCGAAAGCGGCUCUCUGGCCUGUAACUGACACUGAGGCUCGAAAGCGUGGGGAGCAAACAGG